UACGUAGGGUGCAAGCGUUAAUCGGAAUUACUGGGCGUAAAGCGUGCGCAGGCGGUUUUGUAAGUCUGACGUGAAAUCCCCGGGCUCAACCUGGGAAUUGCGUUGGAGACUGCAAGGCUAGAAUCUGGCAGAGGGGGGUAGAAUUCCACGUGUAGCAGUGAAAUGCGUAGAGAUGUGGAGGAACACCGAUGGCGAAGGCAGCCCCCUGGGUCAAGAUUGACGCUCAUGCACGAACGCGUGGGGAGCAAACAGG
RNAcentral lists this ribosomal RNA (253 nucleotides) under uncultured bacterium. RNAcentral's name for it is "partial 16S ribosomal RNA". It matches the Rfam family "Bacterial small subunit ribosomal RNA", at positions 524 to 776 of the family's 1533-position model. The record is from RNAcentral.